Molecule: unclassified non-coding RNA, 302 nt
Filed under: Narcissea cordispora
Lineage: Eukaryota; Fungi; Basidiomycota; Agaricomycetes; Agaricales; Psathyrellaceae
Description: Coprinus cordisporus partial internal transcribed spacer region
Rfam family: Eukaryotic small subunit ribosomal RNA (bases 1-46)
Source: RNAcentral
AAGUCGUAACAAGGUUUCCGUAGGUGAACCUGCGGAAGGAUCAUUAACGAAUAACUAGAUGUGGUUGUAGCUGGCUUCUAGGAGCAUGUGCACGCCCGUCUUCUUAUUUUUCCACCUGUGCACCCAAUGUAGGCUUGGAUAACUCUCGCUCUCGGGCGGAUGCGAGGAUUGUCUUUGGACUCUCCUCGAAUUUCCAAGUCUAUGUCUUUCACAAACCCCAAUGAAAAACGAAGAAUGUAGUCAAUGGGCUUUCCAGCCUAUAAAAUAAUAUACAACUUUCAGCAACGGAUCUCUUGGCUCUC